This 253-nucleotide ribosomal RNA is filed under the name uncultured bacterium. Its description in RNAcentral is "partial 16S ribosomal RNA". It matches the Rfam family "Bacterial small subunit ribosomal RNA", at positions 524 to 776 of the family's 1533-position model. The record is from RNAcentral.
UACGUAGGGCGCAAGCGUUAUCCGGAAUUAUUGGGCGUAAAGAGCUCGUAGGUGGUUUGUUACGUCUGCUGUGAAAACCUAGGGCUUAACCCUGGGCCUGCAGUGGAUACGGGCAGACUAGAGGUAGGUAGGGGAGAAUGGAAUUCCCGGUGUAGCGGUGAAAUGCGCAGAUAUCGGGAGGAACACCGGUGGCGAAGGCGGUUCUCUGGGCCUUACCUGACACUGAGGAGCGAAAGCGUGGGGAGCGAACAGG